Molecule: long non-coding RNA, 920 nt
Filed under: Trifolium pratense (red clover)
Lineage: Eukaryota; Viridiplantae; Streptophyta; Magnoliopsida; Fabales; Fabaceae
Description: long non-coding RNA (TPRA_LNC010149)
Source: RNAcentral
AAAAAAAGAGGCAUUUUAAAAAAAAGACAUUUAAUAUUGAUUAUUAUAUUAAGAAAGGCUCUUCAAUAACUCCGUACGUAAGUGCUAAAAACUAUUCAAUUGUUUUUGGAGAGCAUGAGCUUUAUACAUUAUAAAAAGAGAUAAAAUUAUACUUCUUUUACAUGCAUAAUAAAAGAAACAAUAUGGCUGAAAUUCUUAAGAUUAUUUAUGCGAUGAUUCUAUUUCUUUCCUUAUUUGUUGAUUCGGCGAAAUAUGAUCGUAAGCUACUUUUUCAUCUUUUUCAAAUUUUCUUAUAUAUUAUACUGUGUACACAAAUAUUUUAUCUCGUUUUAGUAACAUUAUUUUAGGGGUAUUAGAUUGAGAUUUCAAUGGAUUUGACAAGACUUUUUUAUGAUAUUCAAUCAAGAUUUUUACAAAAGGUAAAAAAAAAUUGUCGUAUUGAAUUAAGACAAUUAAGUUUUUUCUUUUUCAAGGCAACAAAAUUUCUUGAUAUUCAAUUAAGAUUUCUCAUGGCAGUAGACAUGGCUGUAGAUACUAUUGCAGUCGAGGAUCCAGGUCGCAUGCGUACGCACUUUUUCAUUCUUUUUUAGUUUUCUUAUUUACUUUGUACACAACAUUGUAUCUCAUUUUAAUUACAUUGUUUUAUUCUCUUAUUUCAUUAUUAUAGCACCUGUACAUGAAUGUGAAAACGAUGACGAUUGUUUUGGAAAAGCACCUCCUUAUGAUAUGGUGUGCCUUGAGCACAAUUGUGAAAAAGUGAGGUAUAUAUAUGAAGGUGUAUAUGAUGGAAUCCCAUGAGGGGGAAGAAUGAGAGCUCUUUAGCUAGCAUAAUAUCUAUAUGCAAUAUAGCUUAUUCUAAAAUAUUUCAUGAGUUGUUAUUUAGUUAUUGAGAUGGUACCAGUAAUAAUUAAAAUAAGAAU